GUUAAUGUUCACAGGUUGUGCAGUUGUGCAAAUUCCUUUAAUGCUGCAAAAUGGAGAGAAGAUAGGCGGGACUGAGAUCAAUGUCAUAAGCCAAUAUUCAACAGAAUUUCCAGGCAUGAUUGCUGGUUUAGACCUGGACUUGAGUAUUCCAUCUCCCAGCACCAUAAUCUGCUCUCUCUGUGGUGUUUUGUAAUGAGAUUGUCUUAAAUAAAAAUAAUGCAGUCACUACUAUAGUUCAAAGGAUCUGUUAAAACAGAACCAACAGCCAGCUUCCUUCCUGAGAUGCACAGACAUGUCGUAGUCCCGUAAGGACUGUGAC
This is a long non-coding RNA of Lagopus muta (rock ptarmigan), 319 nucleotides long. RefSeq lists it as uncharacterized. NCBI's taxonomy places the organism in Eukaryota, Metazoa, Chordata, Aves, Galliformes, Phasianidae. The transcript has 3 exons. The record is from RefSeq and is a predicted model, not a curated record.